GCUUUCGUAGUGUAGUGGUCAGCACGCUCGACGCGUAUUCGAGAGGUCCGUGAUUCGAGUCCCGGCGACGGCA
Molecule: non-coding RNA, 73 nt
Organism: Stegodyphus mimosarum
Lineage: Eukaryota; Metazoa; Arthropoda; Arachnida; Araneae; Eresidae
Source: Rfam